This 404-nucleotide ribosomal RNA is filed under the name uncultured bacterium. RNAcentral describes it as "bacterial SSU rRNA". It matches the Rfam family "Bacterial small subunit ribosomal RNA", at positions 355 to 776 of the family's 1533-position model. The record is from RNAcentral.
UGGGGGAUAUUGCACAAUGGGGGGAACCCUGAUGCAGCGACGCCGCGUGGGUGAAGAAGCGCCCCGGCGCGUAAAGCCCUAUCGGCAGGGAAGAAGAUGACGGUACCUGGCUAAGAAGCCCCGGCUAACUACGUGCCAGCAGCCGCGGUAAUACGUAGGGGGCAAGCGUUAUCCGGAUUUACUGGGUGUAAAGGGGGCGCAGACGGCAGCGCAAGCCAGGAGUGAAAGCCCGGGGCCCAACCCCGGGACUGCUCUUGGAACUGCGCGGCUGGAGUGCAGGAGGGGCAGGCGGAAUUCCUGGUGUAGCGGUGAAAUGCGUAGAUAUCAGGAGGAACACCGGUGGCGAAGGCGGCCUGCUGGACUGCAACUGACGUUGAGGCCCGAAAGCGUGGGGAGCAAACAGG